GUGGGGAAUUUUGGACAAUGGGCGCAAGCCUGAUCCAGCAAUGCCGCGUGCAGGAAGAAGGCCUUCGGGUUGUAAACUGCUUUUGUACGGAACGAAACGGUCCGGGUUAAUACCCUGGGCUAAUGACGGUACCGUAAGAAUAAGCACCGGCUAACUACGUGCCAGCAGCCGCGGUAAUACGUAGGGUGCAAGCGUUAAUCGGAAUUACUGGGCGUAAAGCGUGCGCAGGCGGUUUUGUAAGACAGGCGUGAAAUCCCCGGGCUCAACCUGGGAAUUGCGCUUGUGACUGCAAGGCUGGAGUGCGGCAGAGGGGGAUGGAAUUCCGCGUGUAGCAGUGAAAUGCGUAGAUAUGCGGAGGAACACCGAUGGCGAAGGCAAUCCCCUGGGCCUGCACUGACGCUCAUGCACGAAAGCGUGGGGAGCAAACAGGAUUAGAUACCCCUGUAGUCC
RNAcentral lists this ribosomal RNA (450 nucleotides) under uncultured bacterium. RNAcentral describes it as "bacterial SSU rRNA". It matches the Rfam family "Bacterial small subunit ribosomal RNA", at positions 354 to 796 of the family's 1533-position model. The record is from RNAcentral.